RNAcentral lists this transfer RNA (84 nucleotides) under Candidatus Liptonbacteria bacterium RIFCSPHIGHO2_01_FULL_57_28. RNAcentral's name for it is "tRNA-Leu". It matches the Rfam family "tRNA". Rfam says of the family: Transfer RNA (tRNA) molecules are approximately 80 nucleotides in length. Lineage: Bacteria; Candidatus Liptoniibacteriota. The record is from RNAcentral.
GCCGAGGUGGCGAAACUGGCAGACGCACUGGCUUCAGGUGCCAGCGCCCGCAAGGGCAUGGAGGUUCAAAUCCUCUCCUCGGCA